This 253-nucleotide ribosomal RNA is filed under the name uncultured bacterium. Its description in RNAcentral is "partial 16S ribosomal RNA". It matches the Rfam family "Bacterial small subunit ribosomal RNA", at positions 524 to 776 of the family's 1533-position model. The record is from RNAcentral.
UACGUAGGGGGCAAGCGUUGUCCGGAAUCAUUGGGCGUAAAGCGCGUGUAGGCGGCCCGGUAAGUCCGCUGUGAAAGUCCAGGGCUCAACCCUGGGAUGCCGGUGGAUACUGUCGGGCUCGAGUCCGGAAGAGGCGAGUGGAAUUCCUGGUGUAGCGGUGAAAUGCGCAGAUAUCAGGAGGAACACCGGUGGCGAAGGCGGCCCUCUGGACGGUGACUGACGCUGAGACGCGAAAGCGUGGGGAGCAAACAGG